UUUUUUAUGGCUGAGCUUAAGCGAUAGAUUUUUAAUCUAUAAACGAAAAUUAUUUCUUUGCGAU
Molecule: transfer RNA, 64 nt
Filed under: Rabdotus mooreanus
Lineage: Eukaryota; Metazoa; Mollusca; Gastropoda; Stylommatophora; Orthalicidae
Description: tRNA-Lys
Source: RNAcentral